AAGUAUUAGCUUCUAGAAAAACAACGGUAAUAGGUUUCCUUCCAUAUUGAAUUUAUUUACGCAAUAAUUUAAACAUGACUACUAGAAUCUCCUUGAUCGUUCUGUUUUCAAUACUUCUGGGGGUAUUAGGGGAGACCGAGCUAAAUCGAAACAAAGAUAACGCGGUCGCAGUUGGCGUGCCGACCAAGUGUCUAGUCAAGGCGGCUAAUAGUUUUGGGACCUGUCUCGUAUCUGGACAACAGCUGGACAGCUCUGGACCUGCACUUGAGAACAAACUACUCUCAUGUAUUGGAAGUUUCGCUUGUAGUUUGAUUCAUUGUUUUACGGAGUAGCGAAUUGCGGUUCACCUUCAAUUUCAAAACGACAAAGUUUUAAAAGCAUCAAUAUUUUAUAACAAUAUUUUUAAAUGUCUUAUUAAAAAGAAAAUAUAACAAA
Long non-coding RNA from Cydia pomonella (codling moth), 435 nucleotides. RefSeq lists it as uncharacterized. The transcript has 3 exons. The record is from RefSeq and is a predicted model, not a curated record. NCBI's taxonomy places the organism in Eukaryota, Metazoa, Arthropoda, Insecta, Lepidoptera, Tortricidae.